ACUUUCGUGGUGUAGUAGUCAGCACGAUCGACUCGUAUUCGAGAGAUCCGUGGUUCGAGUCCCGGCGAAAGGC
Molecule: transfer RNA, 73 nt
Filed under: Stegodyphus mimosarum
Lineage: Eukaryota; Metazoa; Arthropoda; Arachnida; Araneae; Eresidae
Rfam family: tRNA
About the family: Transfer RNA (tRNA) molecules are approximately 80 nucleotides in length.
Source: Rfam by way of RNAcentral